This 467-nucleotide ribosomal RNA is filed under the name uncultured Geobacillus sp. Its description in RNAcentral is "bacterial SSU rRNA". It matches the Rfam family "Bacterial small subunit ribosomal RNA", at positions 916 to 1381 of the family's 1533-position model. The record is from RNAcentral. Lineage: Bacteria; Bacillati; Bacillota; Bacilli; Caryophanales; Anoxybacillaceae.
GACGGGGCCCGCACAAGCGGUGAGCAUGUGGUUUAAUUCGACGCAACGCGAAGAACCUUACCAGGGCUUGACAUCCCCUGACCGCGUAUGAAAGUACGUUUUCACCCUCGGGUGACAGGGAGACAGGUGGUGCAUGGUUGUCAUCAGCUCGUGUCGUGAGAUGUUGGGUUAAGUCCCGCAACGAGCGCAACCCUCGCCUCUAGUUGCCAGCAUUCGGUUGGGCACUCUAGAGGGACUGCCGGCGACAAGUCGGAGGAAGUGGGAUGACGUCAAAUCAUCAUGCCCCUUAUGACCUGGGCUACACACGUGCUACAAUGGGCGGUACAAAGGGCUGCGAACCCGCGAGGGGGAGCGAAUCCCAAAAAGCCGCUCUCAGUUCGGAUUGCAGGCUGCAACUCGCCUGCAUGAAGCCGGAAUCGCUAGUAAUCGCGGAUCAGCAUGCCGCGGUGAAUACGUUCCCGGGCCUU